AGAUCUUUUCAUUAGACCUUCAUUAAGAAGGUUAUUUGGACUCAAAAUGACUGCACGGAGCUGACUUGGAUCUUUUACCCUAAUCCAGAGAAACCACUGAAGUAAGACUGAGACUUGACUGCAUUUCUUUCUGUCUGAUGAACAAAAAUAUCAGGAGUGUGCCAAUAUACUAAAAAAAGAAAAUGAAAUAUGGUUUAGACUUCAUUAAUAAGGAAACAUGGCCAAAUGAUUACUGCAGCUUAAAUUUUCUAGAUGUUAACUGCUUUCUUAGUUCUCAUCACCUACAUGCUCAAUUUCUGUCCGAUCUUCAGUUAAGGAGGACCAAGAUUAUACAGCACUUUCUGACUUUUAAGAAAAUAAAAGAGAAAUUUGUCGAUAGCAGCACCACACUGAAGUUACUGCAGAAAUUUCUGAUGGAAAUUAUGAUCCAUACUGUCUGUGGAAGCCUCAAUGCUAAUGAAGACUAUAGUCAAUGCAAAAGAUACAAACAUCAGAAUUUUGGAGCUAAACCCCAGAAAUCAGCAGAAAAUUGGAACUCCUUAGGACCUGCUGUAUUCUUGAUCUGA
Molecule: long non-coding RNA, 566 nt
Filed under: Apteryx haastii (Great spotted kiwi)
Lineage: Eukaryota; Metazoa; Chordata; Aves; Apterygiformes; Apterygidae
Description: lncRNA (ENSAHAG00000014153.1)
Source: RNAcentral